Molecule: long non-coding RNA, 491 nt
Organism: Arabidopsis thaliana (thale cress)
Lineage: Eukaryota; Viridiplantae; Streptophyta; Magnoliopsida; Brassicales; Brassicaceae
Product: other RNA
Exons: 1
Source: RefSeq
GGCGUUCGAUGUAGAGUAGUAAAUAAAGAUGUAGAUGUGCAGUUGUAGAAUGUAGCCUAUGAAAAGGUAAUAAAAUCCAAAUUUCUGUUCAAUUCUGAAUGGUUGCUAAGCCUUGCUUCACCAUUCUGACAUGAAAGGCGUGAAGAAACAAGGCAAUAGAUUGUAGGCUCAGCGAAGAUUGUGGGCACAACAUCAUAACGGUAGGCAUGAGAAAAUGUAGGAAUCUAUUUGCAGGAAGAAAUUGGCAAUCCCAUGAAAAGAGGAAACACAGUCAUGCUCCUUUAGAGAAAGCUCCUGCGACCAAACAAACACUUACAUACGAGAAUCCCUCUCUUAAACACAACCCCAGUCAUGGUUCCUUUUGAAUUCUCUCCACACUCUUAACACUAAUUCAUGCUUCAGUAGAAAAAGUAUCAAUCAAUAAUGCCUGAGAAGCUCUCAAAUUCCAGAAUCAAACAGAGACUACAACACAGCAGAUUGAUCGCCAUAAG